Long non-coding RNA from Rhopalosiphum padi (bird cherry-oat aphid), 3300 nucleotides. RefSeq lists it as uncharacterized. The record is from RefSeq and is a predicted model, not a curated record. The transcript is spliced from 17 exons. NCBI's taxonomy places the organism in Eukaryota, Metazoa, Arthropoda, Insecta, Hemiptera, Aphididae.
AGAGUGCUGAGAGAUUUAUUCAUAUUCAUAGAACUUUGGGAAAGUAUGAACAUCGAAUGUUGAAAAUGAACUAAAAGAUACUGAUUAUAAAGAUUUUAUGCAAUGUACGUGGUGUUGUUAUUGGCUGUAAUUGAUAAAAAAUUAAUAGCAUUCUAUCUAAAAGUUAUUCAAAUGAAUCAUUGACCAUAAAAUUAGAUGGCAAUACAGCAGAUGAGCAAAGAGUGCUGAGAGAUUUAUUCAUAUUCAUAGAACUUUGGGAAAGUAUGAACAUCGAAUGUUGAAAAUGAACUAAAAGAUACUGAUUAUAAAGAUUUUAUGCAAUGUACGUGGUGUUGUUAUUGGCUGUAAUUGAUAAAAAAUUAAUAGCAUUCUAUCUAAAAGUUAUUCAAAUGAAUCAUUGACCAUAAAAUUAGAUGGCUGUACACCAGAUAUACUCAGGACAUAUUGAAACAUGAAUUACCAUUUCUACCACAUGGGAAAGUUUCAACAUCCUACGUUGAAAAUGGACUGGACGAUCCUGAUAAUAAUAAUAGUUUUAUGCAUAGUACGAGUAAUGGAUAUUGAAUAUAAUUGAUAGUCAAUUAAUAUUAGUGUAACAAAAAGUCAGUGUCAUGAAAUCCAGACCAUUAGAUUAAAUGGCUGUACACCAGAUAUACUCAGGACAUAUUGAAACAUGAAUUACCAUUUCUACCACAUGGGAAAGUUUCAACAUCCUACGUUGAAAAUGGACUGGACGAUCCUGAUAAUAAUAAUAGUUUUAUGCAUAGUACGAGUAAUGGACAUUGAAUAUAAUUGAUAGUCAAUUAAUAUUAGUGUAACAAAAAAUGGCAAUACAGCAGAUGAGCAAAGAAUGCUGAGAGAUUUAUUCAUAUUCAUAAAACUUUGGGAAAGUAUGAACAUCCAAUGUUGAAAAGAACUAAAAGAUACUGAUUAUAAAGAUUUUAUGCAAUGUACGUGGUGUUGUUAUUGGCUGUAAUUGAUAAAAAAUUAAUAGCAUUCUAUCUUAAAGUUAUUCAAAUGAAUCCUUGACCAUAAAAUUAGAUGGCUGUACACCAGAUAUACUCAGGACAUAUUGAAACAUGAAUUACCAUUUCUACCACAUGGGAAAGUUUCAACAUCCUACGUUGAAAAUGGACUGGACGAUCCUGAUAAUAAUAAUAGUUUUAUGCAUAAUGGCUGUACACCAGAUAUACUCAGGACAUAUUGAAACAUGAAUUACCAUUUCUACCACAUGGGAAAGUUUCAACAUCCUACGUUGAAAAUGGACUGGACGAUCCUGAUAAUAAUAAUAGUUUUAUGCAUAAUGGCAGUACUGCAGAUCACUGGAGGCAUGCUGAGACAUGAAUUAACAUUUCUAUCACUUGGGAAAGUUACAACAUUUUCCGUUGAAAAUGGAAUAGAAGAUGGCAGUAUAUCAGAUCAAUCAAGGCAUGCUGAGACACGAAUUCACAUUUCUACCACUAAGGAGAGUUUCAACAUCCUAGGUUGAAAAUGGACUAGAAGAUACUGAUAAUAAUAUUGGAUUUAUGCAAUGGUUAUUGAAUAUAAUUGACACUAAAUUAAUAGCUGUGAAACAAUUGAGAUUUGUUAAAUAUCUGAAUAAAAUAAUAAUGGCAGUACAGCAGAUCAUUCAAUACAUGCCGAGACAUGAAUUCACAUUUCUACCACUAUGCUAAAUAUCAAUAUCCUACGUUGAAAAUGUACUAGACGAUACUGCUAAUAACAAGGGUUUUGUGCAACAUGGCAGUACAGCAGAUCACUCAAUACAUGCUGAGACAUGAAUUCACAUUUCUACCACUAUGCAAAACAUCAACAUCCUACGUUGAAAAUGGACUAGACAGUACUGCUAAUAAUAAUGGUUUUGUGCAACGUGCGCGUAAUGGAUGGCAGUACUGCAGAUCACUGGAGGCAUGCUGAGACAUGAAUUAACAUUUCUAUCACUUGGGAAAGUUACAACAUUUUCCGUUGAAAAUGGAAUAGAAGAUGGCAGUAUAUCAGAUCAAUCAAGGCAUGCUGAGACACGAAUUCACAUUUCUACCACUAAGGAGAGUAUCAACAUCCUAGGUUGAAAAUGGACUAGAAGAUACUGAUAAUAAUAUUGGAUUUAUGCAAUGGUUAUUGAAUAUAAUUGACACUAAAUUAAUAGCUGUGAAACAAUUGAGAUUUGUUAAAUAUCUGAAUAAAAUAAUAGUAAACAACUUUAGCUUGUAUUGUUUAUUCUUAAAUUUUACCUAUGCUAUAAAUAUAUUUUGUUUUUACUAUAAUAUUUAAAUGAUCAUUAUAAAACAUUUAUAAAACACUCAAAUAUUAAGUUCAUGUUUAGAAGGUUGAACAAUAGUUUAAGAAAUUUACCAUUAUUGUCUUUCACGUGUUUCAUUUAACCUGGUAUUUUGAAUACACUAUAAUACAUGUUUUUAUAUGAUAAUUUUGACAAAUUCCAAUUUUAAACUGCUUAUAAAACACUCAAAAUUAUUAAAUGUAUGCACCGACAGAGGGCGGUAGUGGGGACGACAUCCGUCGGCCGAUGCCCGAUCGCCUCAGAGUAAAACUAGUUGGUUGUGUGCCGUUCGCCGGACGGCCUUUUGACAUAAUUGACGGUUGUUUUUACUUAGCUAUUGGGUGUAGUUGUUGUUCAUUUAAUAAAGAUUUUUGAUAUUAUAAACGAAUUGUUCAUAUUUUAUGCCCGAAGUUAACACAAAUGGCAGUACAGCAGAUCAUUCAAUACAUGCCGAGACAUGAAUUCACAUUUCUACCACUAUGCUAAAUAUCAAUAUCCUACGUUGAAAAUGUACUAGACGAUACUGCUAAUAACAAGGGUUUUGUGCAACGUGCGUGUAAUGGAUGGCAGUACAGCAGAUCACUCAAUACAUGCUGAGACAUGAAUUCACAUUUCUACCACUAUGCAAAACAUCAACAUCCUACGUUGAAAAUGGACUAGACAGUACUGCUAAUAAUAAUGGUUUUGUGCAACGUGCGCGUAAUGGAUGGCAGUACUGCAGAUCACUGGAGGCAUGCUGAGACAUGAAUUAACAUUUCUAUCACUUGGGAAAGUUACAACAUUUUCCGUUGAAAAUGGAAUAGAAGAUGGCAGUAUAUCAGAUCAAUCAAGGCAUGCUGAGACACGAAUUCACAUUUCUACCACUAAGGAGAGUAUCAACAUCCUAGGUUGAAAAUGGACUAGAAGAUACUGAUAAUAAUAUUGGAUUUAUGCAAUGGUUAUUGAAUAUAAUUGACACUAAAUUAAUAGCUGUGAAACAAUUGAGAUUUGUUAAAUAUCUGAAUAAAAUAAUAGUAAACAAC